Molecule: ribosomal RNA, 428 nt
Filed under: uncultured prokaryote
Description: bacterial SSU rRNA
Rfam family: Bacterial small subunit ribosomal RNA
Source: RNAcentral
UCUAGAAGCUUCGGCAAUGGGGGAAACCCUGACCGAGCGACGCCGCGUGCAGGACGAAGGUCUUCGGAUCGUAAACUGCUUUCGCUGGGGGAGAAAUGCCUCGGGGUGAAUAAUCUCGAGGCUAGACGGUACCCAGUAAAGAAGCUCCGGCUAAGUCCGUGCCAGCAGCCGCGGUAAUACGGAGGGUGCAAGCGUUAUCCGGAUUCACUGGGUUUAAAGGGUGCGUAGGUGGGUUGGUAAGUCAGUGGUGAAAUCCCCGAGCUUAACUUGGGAACUGCCAUUGAUACUAUCAGUCUUGAAUACCGUGGAGGUCAGCGGAAUAUGUCAUGUAGCGGUGAAAUGCUUAGAUAUGACAUAGAACACCAAUUGCGAAGGCAGCUGGCUACUCGGAUGUUGACACUGAGGCACGAAAGCGUGGGGAGCAAACA